CAGUUCGGAUUGUAGUCUGCAACUCGACUACAUGAAGCUGGAAUCGCUAGUAAUCGCGAAUCAGAAUGUCGCGGUGAAUACGUUCCCGGGUCUUGUACACACCGCCCGUCACACCAUGGGAGUCAGUAACGCCCGAAGCCGGUGACCCAACCAGUUCAGGAGGGAGCCGUCGAAGGUGGGACCGAUAACUGGGGUGAAGUCGUAACAAGGUAAC
This 214-nucleotide ribosomal RNA is filed under the name uncultured bacterium. RNAcentral's name for it is "partial 16S ribosomal RNA". It matches the Rfam family "Bacterial small subunit ribosomal RNA", at positions 1289 to 1500 of the family's 1533-position model. The record is from RNAcentral.